AUGGAGACGUUAGAUGUUUCCAUAUUGCAGUUCUUUAUAAGACCACAUAUGGCUUCUUAGAUCCACAUUUCAUUCAACCAGUUUCGAAUACUAUAGAUGAACAGACAGGGUAUAUCAACGUCACCAUGCAAUAUGGCAAAAAACAAUGCUAUCUAGCGCCAUAUAUUUUAAAUGACCAUUGGAUGUUGAUGGCAAUUUGUCCUCAACUUAAUGAAAUCU
Molecule: long non-coding RNA, 219 nt
Organism: Ipomoea nil (Japanese morning glory)
Lineage: Eukaryota; Viridiplantae; Streptophyta; Magnoliopsida; Solanales; Convolvulaceae
Exons: 3
Source: RefSeq, a predicted model, not a curated record